GCCUGGGUGGCUCAGUCGGUUGAGCAUCUGACUUCGGCUCAGGUCAUGAUCUCAUUGUUGUCAGUUCGAACCCUACAUUGGGCU
This 84-nucleotide transfer RNA is filed under the name Felis catus (domestic cat). It matches the Rfam family "tRNA". From Rfam's summary of the family: Transfer RNA (tRNA) molecules are approximately 80 nucleotides in length. Their secondary structure includes four short double-helical elements and three loops (D, anti-codon, and T loops). Lineage: Eukaryota; Metazoa; Chordata; Mammalia; Carnivora; Felidae. The record is from Rfam by way of RNAcentral.